CCUACGGGUGGCAGCAGUGAGGAAUAUUGGUCAAUGGCCGGAAGGCUGAACCAGCCAUGCCGCGUGAAGGUCAGUGCCCUAUGGGCGUUAAACUUCUUUUGUGCUGGAGCAAUAAUGGUCACGUGUGGCCAGACGAGAGUACCGUACGAAUAAGCAUCGGCUAAAUCCGUGCCAGCAGCAGCGGUAAUACGGGGGGUGCAAGCGUUAUCCGGAUUUGUUGGGUGUAAAGGGUGCGUAAGCUGUGAGGUAAGUCAGCGGUGAAAUGCCCCCGGUCCACGGGGUGAAGUGCCAUUGAUACUGCCUUGCUGGAAUGCGGAAGAGGUGGGAGGAAUUUGUGGUGUAGCGGUGAAAUGCAUAGAUAUCACACAGAACACCGAUUGCGAAGGCAUCUCACGGGACCGCGAUUGACGCUGAUGCACGAAAGCGUGGGUAUCAAACAGGAUUAGAGACCCUUGUAGUC
Molecule: ribosomal RNA, 460 nt
Filed under: uncultured bacterium
Lineage: Bacteria
Description: partial 16S ribosomal RNA
Rfam family: Bacterial small subunit ribosomal RNA
Source: RNAcentral